AAUGAACGUUGGCGGCGUGGAUUAGGCAUGCAAGUCGCGCGAGAAGUCAUUUAGCUUGCUAAAAGGCGGACAGCGGCGGAAGGGGGAGUAACGCGUGGUUAUGUACCCUCGAGACCGGGAUAGUGUCGGGAAACUGGCAGUAAUACCGGAUAACAUCUUCGGAUCAAAUGGUGUGAUUCCGCUCGAGGAUCGGACCGCGUACUAUUAGCUAGUUGGCGGGGUAAUAGCCCACCAAGGCUUAGAUGGUUACCGGGUGUGAGAGCAUGGCCCGGCUCACUGGGACUGAGACACUGCCCAGACAUCUACGGAUGGCUGCAGUCGAGAAUCUUCGGCAAUGGACGAAAGUCUGACCGAGCGACGCCGCGUGCGGGAUGAAGGCCCUCGGGUUGUAAACCGCUGUCAGUUAGGAGGAAAUCCAUGAGGGUACUCUCUCAUGGUUGACCGAUUUUCAGAGGAAGGACGGGCUAAGUUCGUGCCAGCCGCCGCCGUAA
Molecule: ribosomal RNA, 491 nt
Filed under: uncultured bacterium
Lineage: Bacteria
Description: partial 16S ribosomal RNA
Rfam family: Bacterial small subunit ribosomal RNA
Source: RNAcentral